Molecule: ribosomal RNA, 510 nt
Filed under: uncultured bacterium
Lineage: Bacteria
Description: partial 16S ribosomal RNA
Rfam family: Bacterial small subunit ribosomal RNA
Source: RNAcentral
GACGAACGCUGGCGGCGUGCUUAACACAUGCCAGUCGAACGAAGAGCGAUGGAAGCUUGCUUCUAUCAAUCUUAGUGGCGAACGGGUGAGUAACGCGUAAUCAACCUGCCCUUCAGAGGGGGACAACAGUUGGAAACGACUGCUAAUACCGCAUACGAUCUAAUCUCGGCAUCGAGGAUAGAUGAAAGGUGGCCUCUACAUGUAAGCUAUCACUGAAGGAGGGGAUUGCGUCUGAUUAGCUAGUUGGAGGGGUAACGGCCCACCAAGGCGAUGAUCAGUAGCCGGUCUGAGAGGAUGAACGGCCACAUUGGGACUGAGACACGGCCCAGACUCCUACGGGAGGCAGCAGUGGGGAAUCUUCCGCAAUGGACGAAAGUCUGACGGAGCAACGCCGCGUGAGUGAUGACGGCCUUCGGGUUGUAAAGCUCUGUUAAUCGGGACGAAAGGCCUCCUUGCGAAUAGUGAGAAGGAUUGACGGUACCGGAAUAGAAAGCCACGGCUAACUACGUG